Molecule: ribosomal RNA, 1346 nt
Filed under: uncultured bacterium
Lineage: Bacteria
Description: bacterial SSU rRNA
Rfam family: Bacterial small subunit ribosomal RNA
Source: RNAcentral
GACGAACGCUGGCGGCGUGCUUAACACAUGCAAGUCGAACGGAAAGGCCCUGCUUUUGUGGGGUGCUCGAGUGGCGAACGGGUGAGUAACACGUGAGUAACCUGCCCUUGACUUUGGGAUAACUUCAGGAAACUGGGGCUAAUACCGGAUAGGAGCUCCUGCUGCAUGGUGGGGGUUGGAAAGUUUCGGCGGUUGGGGAUGGACUCGCGGCUUAUCAGCUUGUUGGUGGGGUAGUGGCUUACCAAGGCUUUGACGGGUAGCCGGCCUGAGAGGGUGACCGGCCACAUUGGGACUGAGAUACGGCCCAGACUCCUACGGGAGGCAGCAGUGGGGAAUAUUGCACAAUGGGCGGAAGCCUGAUGCAGCAACGCCGCGUGCGGGAUGACGGCCUUCGGGUUGUAAACCGCUUUCGCCUGUGACGAAGCGUGAGUGACGGUAAUGGGUAAAGAAGCACCGGCUAACUACGUGCCAGCAGCCGCGGUGAUACGUAGGGUGCGAGCGUUGUCCGGAUUUAUUGGGCGUAAAGGGCUCGUAGGUGGUUGAUCGCGUCGGAAGUGUAAUCUUGGGGCUUAACCCUGAGCGUGCUUUCGAUACGGGUUGACUUGAGGAAGGUAGGGGAGAAUGGAAUUCCUGGUGGAGCGGUGGAAUGCGCAGAUAUCAGGAGGAACACCAGUGGCGAAGGCGGUUCUCUGGGCCUUUCCUGACGCUGAGGAGCGAAAGCGUGGGGAGCGAACAGGCUUAGAUACCCUGGUAGUCCACGCUGUAAACGGUGGGUACUAGGUGUGGGGUCCAUUCCACGGGUUCCGUGCCGUAGCUAACGCUUUAAGUACCCCGCCUGGGGAGUACGGCCGCAAGGCUAAAACUCAAAGGAAUUGACGGGGCCCCGCACAAGCGGCGGAGCAUGCGGAUUAAUUCGAUGCAACGCGUAGAACCUUACCUGGGUUUGACAUGGAUCGGGAGUGCUCAGAGAUGGGUGUGCCUCUUUUGGGGUCGGUUCACAGGUGGUGCAUGCCUGUCGUCAGCUCGUGUCGUGAGAUGUUGGGUUAAGUCCCGCAACGAGCGCAACCCUUGUUCACUGUUGCCAGCACGUUAUGGUGGGGACUCAGUGGAGACCGCCGGGGCCAACUCGGAGGAAGGUGGGGAUGACGUCAAGCCCUCAUGCCCCUUAUGUCCAGGGCUUCACGCAUGCUACAAUGGCUGGUACAGAGAGUGGCGAGCCUGUGAGGGUGAGCGAAUCUCGGAAAGCCGGUCUCAGUUCGGAUUGGGGUCUGCAACUCGACCUCAUGAAGUCGGAGUCGCUAGUAAUCGCAGAUCAGCAACGCUGCGGUGAAUACGUUCCCGGGGCU